GUUCGUGUCUUAAGUCUUUGGUUUGCAGCGAUUCAGUUUCUUCGUGUACGCCGUCAGUGCUGGUUGUGUUUAGCGGAUGGAAGAAAGCGUCUGCUGCCUCUUAUGGACUAAGCUGAAAACAAAAAUAAAUUUUGCACGUUAAAACUGUUGGAAAUAUAUUUAACUUUAUUACAAGAACAACGAAAAGCUGAACACUGCGAAUUUUUGGGUGUAUGUGAGUGACGAAAUUCCAGUGAAGAAAAAAUAAUAUAAAAAUAUAGAAAAUCGUCUAUUAAAUAAAGACCAAAACCAACCACAGUGCAACAAAAGCAAAAUCCAUGCUAUCAAACAUAAAUAUAUAUCAACAAAACUAAAGUGUGAAAUAAGGAAAAAAAACUACACAAAAUAACAACAACGACAAUCAAAUAACUUCAAAAUAAUCCAGCAUAAAAAGUAUCAGAAUCUUCUUCAUCUAAAA
Rhagoletis pomonella (apple maggot) is the source of this 457-nucleotide long non-coding RNA. RefSeq lists it as uncharacterized. The transcript has 2 exons. The record is from RefSeq and is a predicted model, not a curated record. NCBI's taxonomy places the organism in Eukaryota, Metazoa, Arthropoda, Insecta, Diptera, Tephritidae.